Long non-coding RNA from Oncorhynchus tshawytscha (Chinook salmon), 1190 nucleotides. RefSeq lists it as uncharacterized. Lineage: Eukaryota; Metazoa; Chordata; Actinopteri; Salmoniformes; Salmonidae. The record is from RefSeq and is a predicted model, not a curated record. The transcript has 2 exons.
UUACCAAAACGUUUUGAUGACAUGGGAUAAUUACACUGCUGACUGCUAGACUAACUUACCAAAACGUUUUGAUGACAUGGGAUAAUUACACUGCUGACUGCUAGACUAACUUACCAAAACGUUUUGAUGACAUGGGGUAAUUGCACUGCUGACUGCUAGACUAACUUACCAAAACGUUUUGAUGACAUGGGGUAAUUGCACUGCUGACUGCUAGACUAACUUACCAAAACGUUUUGAUGACAUGGGGUAAUUACACUGCUGACUGCUAGACUAACUUACCAAAACGUUUUGAUGACAUGGGGUAAUUGCACUGCUGACUGCUAGACUAACUUACCAAAACGUUUUGAUGACAUGGGGUAAUUGCACUGCUGACUGCUAGACUAACUUACCAAAACGUUUUGAUGACAUGGGGUAAUUACACUGCUGACUGCUAGACUAACUUACCAAAACGUUUUGAUGACAUGGGGUAAUUACACUGCUGACUGCUAGACUAACUUACCAAAACGUUUUGAUGACAUGGGGUAAUUGCACUGCUGACUGCUAGACUAACUUACCAAAACGUUUUGAUGACAUGGGGUAAUUGAGUUACUAUCAGUGAGUGACAUAAGAAGAGAAAAAGCGCUGAUCCACAACCAAAUUUCGAAAUGAGAGCCCAACUGAGUUCCCCAAAAACAUUGAUCCAAGGGCCGUCAAAAGGGUUCCGCAUUCCUUUGGCCCGCAAGCUGCCAGUUGCCCAUCCCCGAUAUACUUAUAUUCACACAUAAAAUGGUCCGACCAGGUGAUGUGCCCUUGUACGGAAGGUCACUCGAUGCUGUCAGUUCCCUUUUCCUCUCCGGAUAUUCCCAGCAUUCUAUGGGCCAGCGGAACGCAGCGCAGAGAGCAGCCGGGAACUCUGGGAACCAGGAGCAGGAAGCUAGCACCGCUCCAGUUGUUCCUUGGUUGGGCCAAUCGGAGCAAAGCAGAGCCGGGGAGGAGAGGUGGCGGAGAGGGCUUGAUGCUGGGGCUAGGUGGGAGUACUCGAGGGCUGCAAUUGUUACUGGAGCCACAUCUCCCUCUGCUGAUUAUUGAUUCACACACCUCAGACCUAACCCACAAUGACCCACAUGUAUUUUUUUUGUAGUUUCUUUAUAGUUUGUAAACAAUGAAUUCCUCUACUGGGACAAUAAAAUAUUUAAUUGACUUUUAAAUGA